CCUACGGGAGGCUGCAGUAGGGAAUAUUGGUCAAUGGGUGAGAGCCUGAACCAGCCAUGCCGCGUGCAGGAAGACGGCCUUCUGGGUUGUAAACUGCUUUUAUCGGGGGAGAAAAAGGCCUUGCGAGGCACAUUGAAGGUACCAGAUGAAUAAGCACCGGCGAACUACGGGCCAGCAGCCGCGGGAAUACGGAGGGUGCAAGCGUUGUUUGGAUUUAACGGGUGCAAAGGGGGUGUAGGCGGUCAGUGAAGAAAUCCAACAGCUCAACUGUUGAUGUGCCAAUGAUACUGAUGGACUUGAGUACAGACGAGGUAGGCGGAAUUGACAGUGUAGCGGUGAAAUGCAUAGAUAUUGUCAAGAACACCGAUAGCGAAGGCAGCUUGCUAGCCUGUAACUGACGCUGAGGCACGAAAGUAUGGGGAUCAAACAGGAUUAGAUACCCGAGUAGUC
This 450-nucleotide ribosomal RNA is filed under the name uncultured bacterium. RNAcentral's name for it is "partial 16S ribosomal RNA". It matches the Rfam family "Bacterial small subunit ribosomal RNA", at positions 338 to 795 of the family's 1533-position model. The record is from RNAcentral.